CCUACGGGAGGCUGCAGUGGGGGAUAUUGCACAAUGGGGGAAACCCUGAUGCAGCGACGCCGCGUGUGGGAAGACGGUCCUCUGGCUUGUAAACCACUGUCCCCAGGGACGAAGAUGACGGUACCUGGGGAGGAAGCUCCGGCUAACUACGUGCCAGCAGCCGCGGUAAUACGUAGGGCGCAAGCGUUGUCCGGAAUUACUGGGUGUAAAGGGAGCGUAGGCGGGAUGGCAAGUUGGGUGUUAAAUCUACCGGCUCAACUGGUAGUCGCACUUAAAACUGCUAUUCUUGAGUGAAGUAGAGGCAGGCGGAAUUCGUGGUGUAGCGGUGAAAUGCGUAGAUAUUAGGAGGAACACCAGUUGCGAAGGCGGCCUGCUGGGCUUUUACUGACGCUGAGGCUCGAAAGUGUGGGGAGCAAACAGGAUUAGAUACCCGAGUAGUC
Molecule: ribosomal RNA, 440 nt
Filed under: uncultured bacterium
Lineage: Bacteria
Description: partial 16S ribosomal RNA
Rfam family: Bacterial small subunit ribosomal RNA
Source: RNAcentral